CGAGACGUUCGAUUGUAUGCUCUGUGCGAAGAGUUUUAUACACUAUGUGGCUCUUCCGAUACGAGUAUAUGUAUUAUUUUGCUUUAAUUCCAGGUAAGAACCGAAAGCACUUCAGAAUCGCCUGAGUCUUUUGAACUGGAAUAUCCUUACAUUGAUGAACAGACACAAAUUUCUUGCCGCGAAAAACCUCCGGUGAAAAGUACAGAAUGCUGCAUAGCGCCCCUGCUUUUUACUGAAGAAAUCUUCUUGAAUUGCGGUGUUUGGACAACGGAUGUGCCACAGUCAAACAUUUCCACAGAUUUUGACGGGCUUAUUAAUUGCACUCAAAAGAAUUGCGUGUUAUCUGGACACAAACUUCUAUAUGAAAACGAUACUUUGAAUGCGUCUCAAUUUUUUAACUUCAUCGACAAGUGGGUCCUUGAACAUCCAGCCUUCAAGUCUGCAGUAGAAGUGGUUAAAGAAUACUGUGUGGAUCGGGAGUCAAGACUUGACAAUCAGUCUGAAGAUAACUGUUUACUUGACAGACUGGUUUUGUGUUACGCUUCAGUUAUUUAUUCUGAAUGUCCAGUUUGGAAAAAAACUUCAAACUGCGCAAAGCUUAAAGAAUUUAAGAUAUCGUGUCCAAUGUUCCAACAGAAAAAAAACCUUGAUUUUUUGUCAAAUUAAUAUUUAAGUAUUUUCUUAAAACAUUUUUUUAAAAGUUAUUAUAUUAUACGCAUGUCGCAUAUAUUGUUAAUAAAUAUAACAUAAACAGUAAUACCCAACUCUACGUUGUUUAUAACUUUUUAAAUACUUAAUUUUUAUAAUUCCAAUUGUGUAAUACCUACAUAUUUAAUUAAAAUCAAAUCAAAUAAUCCAUUAUUUAAUUGCAUCGAAUUAUAGGACACAAGAGCCCUUGUAUUUUGACGCGGCUUAUUGUAGAUUUGCCGCCAAUGGUAUUUAACUACUUAGCUGGACAAAUGGGGAGCGCUAAGAGUUUUCAUCCGGUAUAAAAAUUUAAGACAAGAGUCCUGUGGAUGUCCCGUUGGGCACGAACCUCGGGUUAGGGCGUCGUCGGAUAGGAUUAUAUUUGAUUAAUCGACCCUAGUGGGCCGAUAGCAAUAAACACUGAAUAUAUGUGAGCCCAUGUAAGUAACUACAUUGUAAUAAGAAAUUCUUCAAUCGUGUGGGUUGUGAGGUGAAUUACCAACCUCAUCAACCCUGGUGUCAAGGCUACUAUUGAGCCGCCAAAGGCCCCUGACAUGGCUCAUGUAACGACUACUUACUUACAUCAGUAAGUAGAAACCGGGACCAACGGCUUAACGUGCCCUCCGCAGCACGGAUCAUCUCACUUUUUUGACAAACAGGUGAUCAGCCUGUAAUGUUCUAACCAAAUUAGGGAUAACAAAGUGAUUUUUGUGAAAUGUCCCCACCGAAAUUCGAACCCGGGACCUCCGGAUCGUGAGCCCAACGCUCAACCAUUGGACCACGGAGGCCGUUAAUAAGAAAUAAUAUACGUAUUUACCUACCAGUCUACUUCUUAGUAUCAUAGUAGCUUUAUUAGUUCAGUUACUAGAGUUGCAGUUUGAUGAAAUAAGAGUAGAGUUUCGUACAGUUUCCAAACAAUGGUCUUUGGCUCAUAUUAUACAAUAUUCUGCCUGAUUGUAGUCAUAAUUACAAUGACCAGUUGUAUUACGUAGCUCAACACACGGUUACUCAGUGGAUUAGUUUCCAUUGUGACCAAUAUGAAAGUAUUAUCAUCAAAAAGUUUAUAUAUUGCUAGUAUUGUAAUA
Long non-coding RNA from Pectinophora gossypiella (pink bollworm), 1772 nucleotides. RefSeq lists it as uncharacterized. The transcript is spliced from 4 exons. The record is from RefSeq and is a predicted model, not a curated record. Lineage: Eukaryota; Metazoa; Arthropoda; Insecta; Lepidoptera; Gelechiidae.